RNAcentral lists this ribosomal RNA (253 nucleotides) under uncultured bacterium. Its description in RNAcentral is "partial 16S ribosomal RNA". It matches the Rfam family "Bacterial small subunit ribosomal RNA", at positions 524 to 776 of the family's 1533-position model. The record is from RNAcentral.
UACGUAGGGGGCGAGCGUUGUCCGGAUUUAUUGGGCGUAAAGCGCUCGCAGGUGGUCCGAUGCGUCGUGCGUGAAAGACCCCGGCUCAACUGGGGGGCGUCGUGCGAUACGGUCGGACUGGAGGCCAGUAGGGGGAUGCGGAAUUCCGGGUGUAGUGGUGGAAUGCGUAGAGAUCCGGAGGAACACCGGCGGCGAAGGCGGCAUCCUGGACUGGUCCUGACACUCAGGAGCGAAAGCGUGGGGAGCGAUCCGG